Molecule: ribosomal RNA, 339 nt
Filed under: uncultured Pseudomonadota bacterium
Lineage: Bacteria; Pseudomonadati; Pseudomonadota
Description: bacterial SSU rRNA
Rfam family: Bacterial small subunit ribosomal RNA
Source: RNAcentral
AACGAACGCUGGCGGCGUGCCUAACACAUGCAAGUCGAACGAGAAAGGGGCUUCGGCCCUGAGUAAAGUGGCGCACGGGUGAGUAACACGUAGGUAACCUGCCUCUAAGAUCGGGAUAACCUGUCGAAAGACGAGCUAAUACCGGAUAAGACCACGGUUUCCUCGGAAGCAGGGGGUCAAAGGUAGCCUCUACUUGUAAGCUAUCACUUAGAGAUGGGCCUGCGUACCAUUAGCUAGUUGGUGGGGUAACGGCCCACCAAGGCAAAGAUGGUUAGCUGGUCUGAGAGGAUGAUCAGCCACACUGGAACUGAGACACGGUCCAGACUCCUACGGGUGCAG